CCUACGGGCGGCAGCAGUGAGGAAUAUUGGUCAAUGGGCGCGAGCCUGAACCAGCCAAGUAGCGUGACGGAUGACUGCCCUACGGGUUGUAAACUUCUUUUAUAAAGGAAUAAAGUGAGGCACGUGUGCCUUUUUGUAUGUACUUUCUUAAUAAUGAUCGGCUAACUCCGUGCCAGCAGCCGCGGUAAUACGGAGGAUCCGAGCGUUAUCCGGAUUUUUUGGGUUUAAAGGGAGCGUAGAUGGGUUGGUAAGUCAGUUGUGAAAGUUUGCGGCUCAACCGUAAAAUUGCAAUUGAUACUGGCAGUCUUGAGUACAGUUGAGGUAGGCGGAAUGCGUGGGGUAGCGGUGAAAUGCUUAGAUAUCACGAAGAACUCCGAUUGCGAAGGCAGCUUACUAAACUGCCACUGACAUUGAUGCUCGAAAGUGUGGGUAUCAAACAGGAUUAGAUACCCUUGUAGUC
RNAcentral lists this ribosomal RNA (460 nucleotides) under uncultured bacterium. Its description in RNAcentral is "partial 16S ribosomal RNA". It matches the Rfam family "Bacterial small subunit ribosomal RNA", at positions 338 to 795 of the family's 1533-position model. The record is from RNAcentral.